ACGGACCACAUCGUUGGUUUCAAUAUAUGGUCGCAUGAAGACAAUUAUGCGCGGUACAAAAUGGAACCGGGAGAAGGGAUCCUGCCACCACAAUCCACACAAACAAUCAUGGUAAGAAGGAUCCUAAACGCAAACCGAACGGAAGACUUGCAGUGCAAAGACAAGAUUUUUGUGUGGAAUGGAAUUGUGACCGAAGCUGUCGAAGUUAGCGAUAUUGAAGGAUACUGGAAGGACCACAAUGAUAAAGAGUUGCCCGUUGUUCUUACAAUGCCUGGAGAAAGCAGUUAAAGGUAGCAUCAGCAUGGUCGAAUCUCUUGGACGUAAAGGCUUGAGAGAAGAACAGAAAUCCCAGAUAUGGACAUGGCAAA
This is a long non-coding RNA of Lolium rigidum, 368 nucleotides long. RefSeq lists it as uncharacterized. Lineage: Eukaryota; Viridiplantae; Streptophyta; Magnoliopsida; Poales; Poaceae. The record is from RefSeq and is a predicted model, not a curated record. The transcript has 3 exons.